UAUUUUGAGAGUAAGAGUGGAAUUGUCUUACCUACGGUGAGGAGAUUUUCACCGGUUAUUGUUGAGGUUGAUGAAGAUGAUGCGCGAACAAUUCGUAAACACGGGGCUGCAACUGGAGGCUUUUGAUGAAGGUGAUGCCACAACACCUCUUUGGACUUAUGGGAGCGCCUUGAAGAUGGAACUUCAAGUUGUUGGAAGCUUGAAGAUGAAGAUCUUCAAGAAAGGUAUGAAG
Molecule: long non-coding RNA, 232 nt
Organism: Vicia villosa (hairy vetch)
Lineage: Eukaryota; Viridiplantae; Streptophyta; Magnoliopsida; Fabales; Fabaceae
Exons: 3
Source: RefSeq, a predicted model, not a curated record